ACGUAGGGGGCGAGCGUUAUCCGGAUUUACUGGGUGUAAAGGGCGAGUAGGCGGGAUGGAAAGUCAGAUGUGAAAUACCGAGGCUUAACUUCGGGGCUGCAUUUGAAACUUCCAUUCUUGAGUGAUGGAGAGGCAGGCGGAAUUCCCAGUGUAGCGGUGAAAUGCGUAGAUAUUGGGAAGAACACCAGUGGCGAAGGCGGCCUGCUGGACAUUAACUGACGCUGAGGAGCGAAAGCGUGGGGAGCAAACAG
RNAcentral lists this ribosomal RNA (251 nucleotides) under uncultured prokaryote. RNAcentral describes it as "partial 16S rRNA". It matches the Rfam family "Bacterial small subunit ribosomal RNA", at positions 525 to 775 of the family's 1533-position model. The record is from RNAcentral.